Molecule: small RNA, 27 nt
Filed under: Arabidopsis thaliana (thale cress)
Lineage: Eukaryota; Viridiplantae; Streptophyta; Magnoliopsida; Brassicales; Brassicaceae
Description: ATSL110560
Source: RNAcentral
GAAAAGAGUACCGUCAAUGAUCCACCA